Molecule: ribosomal RNA, 362 nt
Filed under: uncultured organism
Description: bacterial SSU rRNA
Rfam family: Bacterial small subunit ribosomal RNA
Source: RNAcentral
GGUUUAACACAUGCAAGUCGAGCGGGCGUAGCAAUACGUCAGCGGCAGACGGGUGAGUAACGCGUGGGAACGUACCUUUUGGUUCGGAACAACACAGGGAAACUUGUGCUAAUACCGGAUAAGCCCUUACGGGGAAAGAUUUAUCGCCGAAAGAUCGGCCCGCGUCUGAUUAGCUAGUUGGUGAGGUAACGGCUCACCAAGGCGACGAUCAGUAGCUGGUCUGAGAGGAUGAUCAGCCACAUUGGGACUGAGACACGGCCCAAACUCCUACGGGAGGCAGCAGUGGGGAAUAUUGGACAAUGGGCGCAAGCCUGAUCCAGCCAUGCCGCGUGAGUGAUGAAGGCCCUAGGGUUGUAAAGCUC